RNAcentral lists this long non-coding RNA (971 nucleotides) under Delphinapterus leucas (beluga whale). RNAcentral describes it as "lncRNA (ENSDLEG00000011221.1)". Lineage: Eukaryota; Metazoa; Chordata; Mammalia; Artiodactyla; Monodontidae. The record is from RNAcentral.
CAGUUGCAAACACAAGUGCUGGCUGGAAUGGGCUCUGGGGUCAACCACUGCCUCAUCCUCUCACCAGCUACUUAAUCCCAUUUGGGGCUAUCCCAAGACCCUUUUCAGGAGGCUCCUUAAUUCUUAAGUAACUAUAAGUAACUAUAACACACACAGCCUGACAUACAUACUGUCUCUUCACAGAGGCCUUGGAACUGACUGUCCUCACUCCUGUUCCCUGUGGAGAAUCCCAGGAUCUAACCAGCCCCAUGGUCAAGAUUUGCUUAAAGCUAAGCCUGUCCAUGCAGAACAGUUGAACAACUUCAGGAGAAGCUGGUUAUUUGGGCCAUUUGGUUGUUUUACCUGAAGAGCAGCCAGAUCAAGUAGGCCGAGGUCCAUCUGAGUAUAAGAAGUCAGCUGAUUGGGCCAAGCAAAUCCUUCAGUUAAGUGUAAGUAGAAUAUAUGUUUUCUGUUUGUUUUGGUUUUUAAAGAGACUGUGCAAUGGUUAGACCACAUGGUUUUGUGUAAUAAUUUUUGAAUGAGAAGAAAACCACAUAUCGAAGGUGAACACUUUAGAUAGGCUUGUUGAGUAUUAACUAUACAGUAAUGUUCUGGGGAAGCUAGUCAAGUAGCAUUUUGAAGUCUGAUAGGCUUACCAAACAGAAAAGAAUAAUAUGACUUUAUAGUUCUAGACGUGAUUAUACUUUCCAAGCCACUGGUAGUAAUUCUCUCAGCCACCCCACUGGCAGGUAGGGCUGACACCUAAUUUAGUGCCCAUCCCACUCCUUUCCAUAAUAACACAAACAGAAUGGAAACAUUCUUCACCCAUGUUGAGAAAAGCCAGUCAUUUGGUUUUCUAAGGCUUUUUAUUUUCCUUUCAUAUUUUGAAGGGUGGUGUAGACCAGAUUAAAAAACAUGGCUCAGGGAAGCAAGAAAUCAUUCCUCCAAGCGUUUAUUAAGUGAAUCACAAAUUCAUUCAGCCUGACUGCUUA